GACGAACGCUGGCGGCGUGCCUAAUACAUGCAAGUCGAGCGAACGGACGAGGAGCUUGUUUUUCUGAUGUUAGCGGCGGACGGGUGAGUAACACGUGGAUAAUCUACCUAUAAGACUGGGAUAACUUCGGGAAACCGGAGCUAAUACCGGAUAAUAUUUUGAACCGCAUGGUUCAAAAGUGAAAGACGGUCUUGCUGUCACUAAUAGAUGGAUCCGCGCUGCAUUAGCGGGUUGGUAAGGUAACGGCUUACCAAGGCAACGAUGCAUAGCCGACCUGAGAGGGGGAUCGGCCACUGUGGAAGUGAGACGCGGCCCAGACCCCGAGGGGAGGCAGCAGGAGGGAAUCUUGCGAAAUGGGCGAAAGCCUGACGGAGAAGCGGCGCGUGAGUGAAGAAGGUCCGCGGAUCGUAAAACGGUGUUAUGAGGGAAGAACAUAUGUGUAAGUAACGGUGCACAUCUGAAGGUAACCUAAUCAGAAGGCCAGGCUAACUACGUG
This 496-nucleotide ribosomal RNA is filed under the name uncultured bacterium. RNAcentral's name for it is "partial 16S ribosomal RNA". It matches the Rfam family "Bacterial small subunit ribosomal RNA", at positions 28 to 507 of the family's 1533-position model. The record is from RNAcentral.